AUUGAACGCUGGCGGCAUGCCUUACACAUGCAAGUCGAACGGCAGCAUGAAAGAGCUUGCUCUUCUGAUGGCGAGUGGCGAACGGGUGAGUAAAGCAUCGGAACGUACCGUGUAGUGGGGGAUAACGUAGCGAAAGUUACGCUAAUACCGCAUACGCACUGAGGUGGAAAGCAGGGGAUCGCAAGACCUUGCGCUAUACGAGCGGCCGAUGUAAGAUUAGCUAGUUGGUAGGGUAAAGGCCUCCCAAGGCGACGAUCUGUAGCGGGUCUGAGAGGAUGAUCCGCCACACUGGGACUGAGACACGGCCCAGACUCCUACGGGAGGCAGCAGUGGGGAAUUUUGGACAAUGGGGGAAACCCUGAUCCAGCCAUGCCGCGUGAGUGAAGAAGGCCUUCGGGUUGUAAAGCUCUUUCGGCUGGGAAGAAAUCGCACAGGCUAAUACUCUGUGUGGAUGACGGUACCAGCAUAAGAAGCACCGGCUAACUACGUGCCAGCAGCCGCGGUAA
This 506-nucleotide ribosomal RNA is filed under the name uncultured bacterium. RNAcentral's name for it is "partial 16S ribosomal RNA". It matches the Rfam family "Bacterial small subunit ribosomal RNA", at positions 30 to 523 of the family's 1533-position model. The record is from RNAcentral.